Molecule: ribosomal RNA, 482 nt
Filed under: uncultured bacterium
Lineage: Bacteria
Description: bacterial SSU rRNA
Rfam family: Bacterial small subunit ribosomal RNA
Source: RNAcentral
UUGAACGCUGGCGGCAUGCCUUACACAUGCAAGUCGAACGGCAGCACGGGAGCAAUCCUGGUGGCGAGUGGCGAACGGGUGAGUAAUAUAUCGGAACGUGCCCAGUCGUGGGGGAUAACGUAGAGAAACUUACGCUAAUACCGCAUACGAUCUACGGAUGAAAGCAGGGGACCGCAAGGCCUUGCGCUCAUGGAGCGGCCGAUGGCAGAUUAGGUAGUUGGUGGGAUAAAAGCUUACCAAGCCGACGAUCUGUAGCUGGUCUGAGAGGACGACCAGCCACACUGGGACUGAGACACGGCCCAGACUCCUACGGGAGGCAGCAGUGGGGAAUUUUGGACAAUGGGCGCAAGCCUGAUCCAGCCAUGCCGCGUGCAGGAUGAAGGCCUUCGGGUUGUAAACUGCUUUUGUACGGAACGAAAAGACUCCUUCUAAUAAAGGGGGUCCAUGACGGUACCGUAAGAAUAAGCACCGGCUAACUACGU